GAGUGUGACUCAGUUGCAGACCAUUUGCUUUGCAUGCAGAAGGUCCCAGGUUCAUUCCCUGGUGCCUCCA
This is a non-coding RNA of Podarcis lilfordi (Lilford's wall lizard), 70 nucleotides long. NCBI's taxonomy places the organism in Eukaryota, Metazoa, Chordata, Lepidosauria, Squamata, Lacertidae. The record is from the annotation of a GenBank genome assembly.